RNAcentral lists this ribosomal RNA (805 nucleotides) under Actinopolymorpha singaporensis. RNAcentral describes it as "bacterial SSU rRNA". It matches the Rfam family "Bacterial small subunit ribosomal RNA", at positions 84 to 902 of the family's 1533-position model. The record is from RNAcentral. Lineage: Bacteria; Bacillati; Actinomycetota; Actinomycetes; Propionibacteriales; Actinopolymorphaceae.
GGGGUACUCGAGCGGCGAACGGGUGAGUAACACGUGAGCAACCUGCCUUCAGCUCUGGGAUAAGCCUGGGAAACUGGGUCUAAUACCGGAUAUGACUCUUGCCUGCAUGGGUGGGGGUGGAAAGAUUUAUCGGCUGGAGAUGGGCUCGCGGCCUAUCAGCUUGUUGGUGGGGUGAUGGCCUACCAAGGCUUUUACGGGUAGCCGGCCUGAGAGGGCGACCGGCCACACUGGGACUGAGACACGGCCCAGACUCCUACGGGAGGCAGCAGUGGGGAAUAUUGCACAAUGGGCGGAAGCCUGAUGCAGCAACGCCGCGUGAGGGAUGACGGCCUUCGGGUUGUAAACCUCUUUCAGCGGGGACGAAGCGUGAGUGACGGUACCCGCAGAAGAAGCGCCGGCCAACUACGUGCCAGCAGCCGCGGUAACACGUAGGGCGCGAGCGUUGUCCGGAAUUAUUGGGCGUAAAGGGCUCGUAGGCGGUUUGUUGCGUCGAAAGUGAAAAUCCGGGGCUUAACUCCGGACUUGCUUUCGAUACGGGCAGACUAGAGGUAGGCAGGGGAGAGUGGAAUUCCUGGUGUAGCGGUGGAAUGCGCAGAUAUCAGGAGGAACACCGGUGGCGAAGGCGGCUCUCUGGGCCUUACCUGACGCUGAGGAGCGAAAGCGUGGGGAGCGAACAGGAUUAGAUACCCUGGUAGUCCACGCCGUAAACGUUGGGCGCUAGGUGUGGGGGACUUCCACGUUCUCCGUGCCGCAGCUAACGCAUUAAGCGCCCCGCCUGGGGAGUACGGCCGCAAGGCUAAAACUC